GGCUGGUCCAAGUGCAGUGGAGUUUAUAACUAAAUGAUCACAACCAGUUGCCAAUUCCUUUGUUCCUUUUCCACUACCACUGCUUCACUUGACUAGCCCUAA
Otolemur garnettii (small-eared galago) is the source of this 102-nucleotide unclassified non-coding RNA. It matches the Rfam family "Y RNA". Rfam says of the family: Y RNAs are components of the Ro ribonucleoprotein particle (Ro RNP), in association with Ro60 and La proteins. The Y RNAs and Ro60 and La proteins are well conserved, but the function of the Ro RNP is not known. The record is from Ensembl. NCBI's taxonomy places the organism in Eukaryota, Metazoa, Chordata, Mammalia, Primates, Galagidae.